This 460-nucleotide ribosomal RNA is filed under the name uncultured bacterium. RNAcentral describes it as "partial 16S ribosomal RNA". It matches the Rfam family "Bacterial small subunit ribosomal RNA", at positions 338 to 795 of the family's 1533-position model. The record is from RNAcentral.
CCUACGGGAGGCAGCAGUGAGGAAUAUUGGUCAAUGGACGAGAGUCUGAACCAGCCAAGUAGCGUGAAGGAUGACUGCCCUAUGGGUUGUAAACUUCUUUUAUAUGGGAAUAAAAUGUUCCACGUGUGGGAUUUUGUAUGUACCAUAUGAAUAAGGAUCGGCUAACUCCGUGCCAGCAGCCGCGGUAAUACGGAGGAUCCGAGCGUUAUCCGGAUUUAUUGGGUUUAAAGGGAGCGUAGGUGGAUUGUUAAGUCAGUUGUGAAAGUUUGCGGCUCAACCGUAAAAUUGCAGUUGAAACGGGCAGUCUUGAGUACAGUAGAGGUGGGCGGAAUUCGUGGUGUAGCGGUGAAAUGCUUAGAUAGCACGAAGAACUCCGAUUGCGAAGGCAGUUCACUGGACUGCAACUGACACUGAGGCUCGAAAGUGUGGGUAUCAAACAGGAUGAGAUACCCCGGUAGUC